GAUGAACGCUGGCGGCGUGCCUAAUACAUGCAAGUCGAGCGAACAGACGAGGAGCUUGCUCCUCUGACGUUAGCGGCGGACGGGUGAGUAACACGUGGAUAACCUACCUAUAAGACUGGGAUAACUUCGGGAAACCGGCGCUAAUACCGGAUAAUAUAUUGAACCGCAUGGUUCAAUAGUGAAAGACGGUUUUGCUGUCACUUAUAGAUGGAUCCGCGCCGCAUUAGCUAGUUGGUAAGGUAACGGCUUACCAAGGCAACGAUGCGUAGCCGACCUGAGAGGGGGAUCGGCCGCACUGGAACGGAGACACGGUCCAGACUCCUACGGGAGGCAGCAGUAGGGAAUCUUCCGCAAUGGGCGAAAGCUUGACGGAGCAACGCCGCGUGAGUGAUGAAGGUCUUCGGAUCGUAAAACUCUGUUAUUAGGGAAGAACAGAUGUGUAAGUAACUAUGCACGUCUUGACGGUACCUAAUCAGAAAGCCACGGCUAACUACGUG
RNAcentral lists this ribosomal RNA (497 nucleotides) under uncultured bacterium. RNAcentral's name for it is "partial 16S ribosomal RNA". It matches the Rfam family "Bacterial small subunit ribosomal RNA", at positions 28 to 507 of the family's 1533-position model. The record is from RNAcentral.